Molecule: ribosomal RNA, 253 nt
Filed under: uncultured bacterium
Lineage: Bacteria
Also listed under: 1 other name
Description: partial 16S ribosomal RNA
Rfam family: Bacterial small subunit ribosomal RNA
Source: RNAcentral
UACGUAGGGGGCGAGCGUUGUCCGAAGUUACUGGGCGUAAAGCGCGCGUAGGCGGGUUGGCAAGUCUGCUGUGAAAGCCCGGGGCUUAACUCCGGAGGGUCGGUGGAUACUGCCAGUCUUGAAGGUGCUAGGGAGAGAUGGAAUUACAGGUGUAGCGGUGAAAUGCGUAGAUAUCUGUAGGAACACCAGUGGCGAAGGCGGUCUCUUGGGGCAUUCUUGACGCUGAGGCGCGAAAGCUGGGGGAGCGAACGGG